UUCUAUGGCCAUGCCGCCCUGAACAAGCCCGAUCCCAUCUGAUCUCGGAAGCUAAGCAGGAUUGGGCCUGGUUAGUACUUGGAUGGGAGACCACCUAGGAAGAUCAUCAGGUGCUGUAAGCA
This 122-nucleotide ribosomal RNA is filed under the name Pteropus alecto (black flying fox). The record is from RNAcentral. Lineage: Eukaryota; Metazoa; Chordata; Mammalia; Chiroptera; Pteropodidae.